RNAcentral lists this ribosomal RNA (445 nucleotides) under uncultured bacterium. RNAcentral's name for it is "partial 16S ribosomal RNA". It matches the Rfam family "Bacterial small subunit ribosomal RNA", at positions 354 to 796 of the family's 1533-position model. The record is from RNAcentral.
GUGAGGAAUAUUGCGCAAUGGAGGCAACUCUGACGCAGCCAUGCCGCGUGCAGGAAGAAGGCGCUACGCGUUGUAAAUUGCUUUUAACCGGGAAGAAACCCCAGGACGUGUCCUGGGUUGACGGUACCGGAGGAAUAAGCACCGGCUAACUUCGUGCCAGCAGCCGCGGUAAUACGAAGGGUGCAAGCGUUAUCCGGAUUCAUUGGGUUUAAAGGGUGCGUAGGCGGAGCGUUAAGUCAGUGGUGAAAUCCUGCAGCUUAACUGUAGACUUGCCAUUGAUACUGGCGCUCUUGAGUGCGCUUGAAGUGGGCGGAAUGUGCCGUGUAGCGGUGAAAUGCUUAGAUAUGGCACAGAACACCAAUUGCGAAGGCAGCUCACUAAGGCGAUACUGACGCUGAGGCACGAAAGCGUGGGGAUCGAACAGGAUUAGAAACCCCGGUAGUCC